Molecule: transfer RNA, 75 nt
Filed under: Bacillota bacterium
Lineage: Bacteria; Bacillati; Bacillota
Description: tRNA-Asn
Rfam family: tRNA
About the family: Transfer RNA (tRNA) molecules are approximately 80 nucleotides in length. Their secondary structure includes four short double-helical elements and three loops (D, anti-codon, and T loops). Further hydrogen bonds mediate the characteristic L-shaped molecular structure. tRNAs have two regions of fundamental functional importance: the anti-codon, which is responsible for specific mRNA codon recognition, and the 3' end, to which the tRNAs corresponding amino acid is attached (by aminoacyl-tRNA synthetases). tRNAs cope with the degeneracy of the genetic code in two manners: having more than one tRNA (with a specific anti-codon) for a particular amino acid; and 'wobble' base-pairing, i.e. permitting non-standard base-pairing at the 3rd anti-codon position.
Source: RNAcentral
UGGGGGGUGGCGCAAUGGCGGCGCGGGUGGCUGUUAACCACAAGGCUGCGGGUUCGAGUCCCGCCCUCCCAGCCA